Molecule: ribosomal RNA, 253 nt
Filed under: uncultured bacterium
Lineage: Bacteria
Description: partial 16S ribosomal RNA
Rfam family: Bacterial small subunit ribosomal RNA
Source: RNAcentral
UACGUAGGGUGCGAGCGUUGUCCGGAAUUAUUGGGCGUAAAGGGCUCGUAGGCGGUCUGUCGCGUCGGGAGUGAAAACUCAGGGCUUAACCCUGAGCCUGCUUCCGAUACGGGCAGACUAGAGGUAUGCAGGGGAGAACGGAAUUCCUGGUGUAGCGGUGAAAUGCGCAGAUAUCAGGAGGAACACCGGUGACGAAGGCGGUUCUCUGGGCAUUACCUGACGCUGAGGAGCGAAAGUGUGGGGAGCGAACAGG